AAGGGUGACAAAUCCAUCUUGCAUCAUGGCUGCUCUGAAGAACAAGAUCCACCGCAUCGGCAAGAGGAAGGGCGCGACCCUGAAGGACGUCAGCGCCUGGCGCUGGAUCAAGACGGCGGCGCGCCACUUCAAACAGGAGGGCAAGAUCUUUGUGCCGAACUGCACCGAGAUCAUGAAGAGCUCUCACGGCCGCGAGCGCGCGCCGCAGAACCCGGACUGGUACUACAUCCGCUGCGCCGCCGUCCUGCGCGCCAUCUACCUGCGCCCUGGCGUGGGUUACGGUGGCCUAAGCAAGCGCUUCGGCAACAAGAAGAACUACGGCAGCCGCCCCGAGCACACCGUGACCUCCUCUACCGGUCCCCUCCACUGGGCCUGCAAGUCGCUGACGAAGCUCGGCCUCGUGGAGCCUGGUGCGCAGUCUGGUCAGCGCCUGACCCGCAAGGGCCACAAGUUCGCUGACUCCCUGGCCUUCCAGGUUCAGAUCCGCAAGUUUGGUGCCAGCAAGUAGGCUUAUUCUUGGACGAACGUAGCCGCUCUGUCGCUUUCUCUUAUCUCUCUAUCACGCGUGCAUGUGCGGCGAAGCAGCAGAGAGAGGGGGCGGGGGUGGGGGAGGGGCAAAGAAAAGUGAGGAGGGGUGCUCGCUCUCGUUUUCUUUGUGUCCCUCACCGCGUCUCGUUCGCCACGGGCACGCGCUAAAGGAGCGGGCGAGCGAGAGAGACAGAGCCACGCGACAGCUUUGCCGGUUCGUCUGGCAAGUGCGCCGUGCUGACUGGUUCGCUCCUUUUUUUUGUCGUUUCGUGUUUUGCUUGAUUUCGUAUCAUUUUUUUCCCCUGUUUUCCAAAGGCUGUUGCGAUACAGUCUUCACAAGACCUUCAAACGAAAAGAGCCACAGCAAAGGGCGGAAGCGCUUGUGGCUGUAUGACCGUCGACGUCGGAUGUGUGGGGUUGCAUCGAUCAGAGCUGGCGUUGUUAUCGAGAGUCGUGAUCGCCCAUGCGGGGUACUCGAAGGGUGUCGCGGACUAUGCGGGAAUUCAGCCUGAUAAGGCAGGUGUCACUCAGCAUCCCAUUGUCUGCUGUGGUGAACUCUUUCGUUACCCAGCCCUCUCCUCUUUCCUUCUCUGCCAGCGUGCAGCAGGUGUCUAUCUGAAGUGCUGCUCUCAUGAGGCGAGCAGCGACAACCAAACAGGAAUUCGCUUCUCUGCUGUCAACCUCUCUGCACUGCUAGCACCCUCUUUCCUUUCUUUGUCACCCGAAUCUACUGGGUGCAAUUUUCCUGUCCUGCGACUACUUUUACUCUGUGCGGCGAUGCGUCUGAACGCACGCACCAUCGACACACACACACACACACUUAUGCAAGCCCGAUCAG
This 1366-nucleotide unclassified non-coding RNA is filed under the name Leishmania donovani. RNAcentral's name for it is "gene:LdHU3.34.4270(CDS-product:40S_ribosomal_prot ein_S19_protein_putative)". The record is from RNAcentral. Lineage: Eukaryota; Euglenozoa; Kinetoplastea; Trypanosomatida; Trypanosomatidae.